Molecule: long non-coding RNA, 1170 nt
Filed under: Marmota monax (woodchuck)
Lineage: Eukaryota; Metazoa; Chordata; Mammalia; Rodentia; Sciuridae
Source: RNAcentral
GGGAAACUUAUCUUCGGCCCGGAGAAGAGGCAAAUCAAAGUAUGAGAGAAACAUCAAGGUAUUCUCUAGAGUCUCAAGAUCUGCUGUGUCAAAACAAGAACAGGAGGUGGGUCUUACUAAAGGGCCGAUUUUGCCAGCACUUGAGUGAGAAGAUAUUUUUAACAAUCCAAAAUGUCUGAAAGUGGGCAGCCUUUGGUUAAAGAUGACAUUUUGACGCACUCGUUUAUCCUGGCUCUCUUCUUAAAUGCCAAUACAGUGGGAGCGACUGAAAUCUUAGUGUAGUAUGUGGCCUAAACUCUCAACAAGAAGAGGAGAAGGGAAGAGAGGAAUAUUAAAAGCCAGGAAGUUCCUGGAAAGCUGUUUCUACUGGCAUCAGAAGACCGAGAACACUGAUCCAUAAACUGAAAAGAGCAAGAUUUGCAGUCAGAAGGGGUCGGGACUCUGCAACUUUGGAACAGGGUGAAGUUGAGCCUAAAAGAGGAGAGUUUGUUGGAAAUCUGACUAAGGGCAAGGGAAAGUCUCACUCACAUGAUAUCUCUCCUGUUUCCUAGACUAGAACUGGCAGUAUACUCUCUGAAGGCAGCCAAUGGAACAGGUUCUGGACUAGUGGAUACUGGGGACAGCUGGAAAAAGGCACUUCUCAUGGAAAACAGGCGGGGAGAUUAAAUAAAAGUCAGCACACUCCUGUUCUUCUCCCCAGAAUGUUGACCUCAUGCCCACCUUCUAGAUGCCUAAUGUUAGAAUUUAAAAUGUGCUCAACAGCUUUUAGUUAUUACACAAAACACUUGAGAGAGGAUUGGGGUGUGUGUGGGGGAUGCAGGACAGGUCUGUCAUGGGUAUCCAAGCUGAGUUUAAUGUUAAGAUAUUUACUGAGCAUAUACUCUGCCCCAAAUAGCAACCUAUAUGCUCUGAUGAUUCAAGAGUGAGUAAGAUUCAGUGUGCCCAUCUCUCAGUAACCCAGAGGGGAAGGAACAGUGUGUGCAGAGACACACAGUAGUGAAAUAGCAUGGUGAAUUGGUGGAACUGCAAGCAGCUUGCUCUCAUUGGUAUAGAAAGUAGAUGCGGGGGAGUGUGGGAGGAGAGGAAGCCAAAGAGAUGCUCUGUGCUUAUGUCCCUGUUUUCCUUAGCCUGUACUCUGUCAAAAUGUGUGUUAUGUUUUAUGUGUAUAUA